This 86-nucleotide transfer RNA is filed under the name Thermoproteota archaeon. RNAcentral's name for it is "Crenarchaeota archaeon (hot springs metagenome) tRNA-Leu". It matches the Rfam family "tRNA". From Rfam's summary of the family: Transfer RNA (tRNA) molecules are approximately 80 nucleotides in length. Their secondary structure includes four short double-helical elements and three loops (D, anti-codon, and T loops). Lineage: Archaea; Thermoproteati; Thermoproteota. The record is from RNAcentral.
GCGGGGGUUCCCUAGCCUGGUCAAAGGGGUAGGGCUCAGGUCCCUAUGGCCUAAGGCCUUCGUGGGUUCAAAUCCCACCCCCCGCA